Dama dama (fallow deer) is the source of this 1066-nucleotide long non-coding RNA. RefSeq lists it as uncharacterized. The transcript is spliced from 3 exons. Lineage: Eukaryota; Metazoa; Chordata; Mammalia; Artiodactyla; Cervidae. The record is from RefSeq and is a predicted model, not a curated record.
GGCAGCGGGAGAGGCCGGGGAAGCAGAGAAACCGGGGGAAGAGGGCGCUCUAGAGGGAGCUGUCAGAUGCCGUGCUCACAGCAGAGGACUGCGAGCGGCCCACUGGGUUUAUUAACAUGUUGACCACCGGGACCUCGGCAAGGCGAUCUUAGUAAGACCGUCAUGUCCGUGUCCCCGAGGGUCCUAGCUUCUCUGGCAGAGUCCAGUUUUAUCUGAACAUCAACUAUUUGAACGUAUGUUAACUCUUCCUAACUGCACUACUACUGAGAGCCUGGGCGUGAGCUUUAAUCCAGGAGUCAGAAACCAGCCCUCGGCUGUCCCCUUUCUGAUCCCGCAGUUAUAACCUGCUUGCUAGGUCUCGGGGGGAAGGAGCCGAGGCAGAGAGCACGUCAAGGUUGUCUUCAGUAAAGAAGCAGAAUGCAUCACCAGAAACAGACUGGCAUCAGAAUGCUGUCACUCCAGAAAUAAACUGUGCAAACAGAUGAUCUACAAGUCCUCCUGACAUGUGAGACACUCCAGACACAGAGCAAUGUUUCCAGAGCUCCAAAACAGUGAGACUGGGGGGUACAGUGGUCCUGGCUGGACUGUACCCAGGAGCUCCUGGGGGGCUCUGUGUAGGAUGCUCCAAAAUGGGACUGACGCCGAGUUUACUGAAGAGGCAAAUCCUCUGAAUAACAAAGAGGGCUGACUCACACAGAUCUAAGAGUUGCUUCUGUGAUAUCAGCAGGAGAUGAAGAAUGGAUGGCUACUUUAAUCCCUCUGGACAACAAAGGAAUUUCUGUAAAAAGUCCAAACUAAUAACGAUCUUUUAAUUUCCUGCAUUACCCAGAUUAUGAAUUUGGCCCCCAGAUGUAUCUCUACUAUUGUUGUUGCUGAAGGGUUGCGUUAGGUGGAGUUUCAAGUGUCACUGUGAACACGAAUUAACCAGAAAGUCUCCCACCUGUUGCCAUCUUCUUUGAUUCUGUGUUCAGAUGUUCAAUACAGCUAUGAAAAAUGGCAUCUAGCUAUGAUGGGAAAGAUUACGAAAAAGAGAACAGAUACAAAAAUAAAUGUGGGCCUAAGCUUC